Non-coding RNA from Paramisgurnus dabryanus, 1058 nucleotides. Lineage: Eukaryota; Metazoa; Chordata; Actinopteri; Cypriniformes; Cobitidae. The record is from RefSeq and is a predicted model, not a curated record.
CGGCCUUAUUGUUGUAUGCAAUAAAGUCAUCUUUUGGCAAUGGAACCCUCUGUUGAAAAUUAUUUUUCAUAAUCACUAAAAAAAUCCACAACAUUUGGCGACGAGGAUGGGAUUGGAAAGGAGCAUGGAGGUGGAUGACCGUUGUGGGCUAAGUUUGGAUGAGCGGCAUACACAGGACCAGGGAAAAAGAAAAGGAGCCUGAUGAGGAGAUGGAGAUAAAAUGCCAUAUUAUGCCAUGGGAUCUAGUGUAUCUGAGGGUCUUCAGGAGAGAGUGACAUAAAACAAGGACCAAGGAGAGCAGCUCUAACAGCAGGCCAAGGGGGAAGGAGCACAUCUGAUGUCAUCUGAGCCAUUGCAAAAAGUUCCUAAAAUACCAGUCGAAGAAGAGGACAACAAAAACACGAUACAGAAGAGGAGAGCUGAGGAGCAGAGGAGAACUUAAACACAAUAAUGAAGAAGAGAGCUGAGGAAAAGAAAAUAAUAAAAGACAUGAUACAGAAGACAACAACAGAAAAAUUAAAAGCAAUUCAAGCCUACAAAGAGAUAAAAGAACGAAGUAAUGACCACCCAGGGCAUAUCAAGCAACAACAACAAAGUUAAGAAAAAUUUGUAAAUGAGAAGAGACUUUCAGGAGCAACAACCAAUGAGUGCAAAGCAGUGGAGUUCACAAGCAAUACACAGAGACAAAGUUGCUGGUAAUGUGUAAAGGACACACAAAGAAAACGUCAAGGAAUUAGCCAUGAAAAUUGAAAAAUAAAGCUAAUAACCAGUUUGACAAUUAUCAGCAACAUAUGGUAAAUUCACACAACUGUAGUCAAUAAUCAAACUUUUCUUCAAUUAACUUUUCACCUAUCAGCAAGGAUCAGUAACACUUUAGCGAGGACCAGUAACACCAGUGAGAAUUUAUUCUACAAUAAUCUCUGCAGAACCAAAGUUUAGAUAAAAUACUGAAGAUACCAAAACAAAAAGGAGACAAGGACAUCAACAGAAGAAAAAGGACGUCAACGGAAGGAAAAAAAAUAUGUUGGACAUUUUAUGGGAAACAAAAAAAAAAAACA